GGGGCACCUGCAAACAGCACACAGUGGGCAAGGGCUGUACAGAGCCAGACAGGCACCCAGCCUGUCUCCCGGUGCUCCAACAGGAGGGGCUGGGCGACAAAACCAAACCUGGCCAGGGUGUCUGGAAGCCCUGCACGCACCAAGGCCCACGGCUCAGACUGGGCCUGCCGGAUCCAAUGACGUUCUCCUCUGGGUCACCCACACCCUCCCGAAUUCUAAAUUCAGGGGCAGGAGAGGGCAUAUGGGGUGAUGCCAGAAAGAUUCCUGGAGCAGAUUUAGGAGACCCAGGUUUCUGCUUCCAACCCAGAACCAUUAGAUGGAUGACCGAUCAAUUCACAUAGCUCUCCGCUGCCUCAGUUUCCCCAUCUGUAAGGGCCUUUUGGAAUGUAAGGCUUGAAGGGAUGUGUCCUGGGAGGCAGUGGGUGUGAUAACGGUGGAGUGGGCCCAUGAUAGGAGGAGGUUGGUUUUGGGGGUGCUGGUAGGCCCCCCAACAUCUCUCCUGGAUGUGAUGACAAUGUCCUUCCUACCUCCUGCCUGAAAUCCUCCAACCCCAGCUGCAUUUGCUAUGAGGCAAGGAGAGAGGGGGCCGGGACAGCAGGAGGUCCUGGGCCUCUGCUGCAAGAGGAGGAAGACCUGGGCUCCCCCACCGGCUCCCGGGCGUGGCAGGCGCAUCAGAGUCGCAGCCAGCCAUGCUCUGAGGCACGGGCCCCAGGAGCCAGAGCAGCAAGGGUUUGCUUCAGUAACAGGAGGAGUGAGCCAGCUCUGUCUACCAAGGGUCCCGAGCCCCUACUGUCUGGGGGUGCCCUGUAGCGCAAGCCAGUGCGUAUCCCUGGUGGUCUUACUGCCCCAAAGGCCAUGACCCUGUGUGCUGUCACUCACAUGCCUGCCCCCCAUCCCAUGUGGAGGCCUGCAUGCCCACAGCCAGGCACGUAGUCGGUGCAUGUGGGACAAGGGAACCAGACCAUGCGCGGUGGGCGACUGGCUGGCUGAGCGAGUAGAGGGUGGCCCCUGUGGAUGCCUGCUGGGAAAGGAGCCGAGAGUCCAGCACCGGACUGAAGGUCCUCUGGGCCCAGCAGAGCUGGUAGGACAGUCAGGAGGCCAGGGCCUCACGAAUAAAGCUUGGCAGCCCACUGCCUGCCCCACGUGCAGUCCCAACCCGGGACCUUGGAGGGCCUGCCUUCCGUCCUUCCUUCCUUCCUUCCUUCCUUCCUUCCUUCCUUCCUUCCUUCGUUCCUUCCUUCCUUCCACCCUCCCUCCAUCCCUCCCUCCCUUUUCUCCCUCCCUCCCUAACGUGCGUCCUGCCUAUAGCACAGAACUAAGGCAGCUGAGGGAUUGGGGUUGGGGAGCAUAACCCCAAGGCAGUGUGAAGGGUGAGGUGGGGCUUCAAGACCCCAAGUUCUCAUUCUGCAUAGGACGGCACUCAGGGCUGAGAGACGGAGCUGUCAUCGCCUCCCGGACCAGAAGCUUCCGGCAUCCAGCCGUGGCCUGGCCUGGGGGAAAAGGGGACCAGGCUGCACAUCCUCCCGCUGUGGACCCCUCCUCACCCAUGCCCACGGGGUGCUGCUCAGCUCUUCCUCAGAGGGCCCCCUUCCCGCCCCCAGCCUGGGACACUUCAGGCCUCAGGUUAGAACAGUCUGUCCUCCACAUGGUCGUCUCCUGUCCCCAUGCCACUGCUGGCCCUGACAGCUCUCUUCCUGCUUUUGUUUCCCGGGGAAGCAGGUUCAGGUGAGGGGUACACAGGGAGGGGCUGGGGGCAGGGGCAGGGCAGAGCCGGGCCGCUCCGGGGUAAGCUUCCUCCUGCAGCCCUGCGGGCUUUGUGCCAAUGGAGCCCAGGAGCCUCUCUGCUGAACAAGAGGCGGGAAUAGAAAGUGCCCGGAAAGAGAGAGUGAAGUGUGGCGAGCCUGCACCAGCCAGGAAGGCAAACCUGCCUGGACGGCGGCACAGGCAGCCUCUCUGGGCCCAGCUGACCUCCCCGAGGCCAGGCUAAGCCAGGCCCUGGUUAAAGGAGGCCUUGUCCAUGCCUGGCCGGCGGGGCAGGGAGGAGGGAUUUUAGGAAAAGUUUGGGAUGGCUGUGUUCCUUCUCAGGGAGGGAGGGAACAGAGUGGUCUCAGAGGUGGCUUUUGUGUUCAGGCUGGGAUGUCCUACAUAAGUGACAGAGACCUUGGAAAGCUAAACCUCAACCAUUGCGGGCGCCCUGAAAAAGCCCUCCAGCCCAAGGAGGACCUCAGACGUGUCACAAAACCCAAGCCAAGCCACCUUUUUUCUCUGGUCUCUAGGCCCCUCUUCCCUCCACCUCCCCUCCCCUCCCGCCUUGGGCCCAGAGCGCCCCCUCUCUGCGGGUUGUCCCCAGCCCCACCCUUGCCACAGCCUCUGUCCCGGAAAGGUGCAGCCUGGCUGGCAGGUGACCCUGCAUCUGGCUGGGCCAGUCGUCUUCUUGCCUCAACGCCCUCCAGAGCAGUGGCUCUCACAGCCAGCCCCGAAGAGCCACCCUCAGCUCUCAUUCAAAUGCACAUUCCCAGGGUGGGUGCUCAGAGAUUCUGAUUUCCUCAGGCCCAGGAAUCUGCAUUUACCUCAAGAAUUCCAGAGGUUCUCACGUACACGGCAUCCUGAGAAACAUCGGAUGGUGCAGGUGGCCCUCUACAGCCCAGCUGCCGUCCUCCCCCCACCUCUCCUCCCCCCAGCCCACCGAAGUUGAAUCCCAAGGAUCACCUUUUAGGAAGUGCUUCUGAAAAGGCAGCACAGCCAGGGGACACACCUGAAGCCAGCUGAGGACAACCUCAGCUCUUGUUGCCAGGACAACCUCAGUUCCUGCAGCCAGGACAACCUCAGCUCCACCUGGGCUCCCUCAUCCUUCUUGUGUCAGCGAGAGCCAGGAGCUCACACCGAGCCCUCCAUCAACUGUACCCCAAAUCAUGGCAACUAGAGGGAAGGCCUGGGAUGGUUUUUAGGAGGUGGGAGUUUGCACUCUGUGGUUCACAAACUAAAAUGCUCCUGCCCACCAGUCUCCCCGAGGGCCAGGACAGGCUUUCAGCUCCCACGUCCACCAAGCACAUGGGUCACCACUAGGAGACAAGCUCUACGGCCUGUGGGCUGGGCUCAGACCCCAGCGCUGGCCCUGGGGGUCUUUGGACAUGUCCCUUACCUGGCUUCAGUUUGUUCUCCUACUGAGUGAGGGUAUCAAUAGCAUCUUAGGCAGGACGUUAUGAGAUGAAAUAAAACAGCAGAGCACCUGG
Hipposideros armiger (great roundleaf bat) is the source of this 3233-nucleotide long non-coding RNA. RefSeq lists it as uncharacterized. The record is from RefSeq and is a predicted model, not a curated record. NCBI's taxonomy places the organism in Eukaryota, Metazoa, Chordata, Mammalia, Chiroptera, Hipposideridae. The transcript is spliced from 2 exons.